GCAGGUGUUGCUCAAGUGGUAGAGCACUUGCCUAGCAAGCAUGAUGCUCUCAGUUUUGACACUAGUACUUGCA
RNAcentral lists this transfer RNA (73 nucleotides) under Dipodomys ordii (Ord's kangaroo rat). It matches the Rfam family "tRNA". From Rfam's summary of the family: Transfer RNA (tRNA) molecules are approximately 80 nucleotides in length. Their secondary structure includes four short double-helical elements and three loops (D, anti-codon, and T loops). Lineage: Eukaryota; Metazoa; Chordata; Mammalia; Rodentia; Heteromyidae. The record is from Rfam by way of RNAcentral.